Molecule: long non-coding RNA, 10531 nt
Filed under: Physcomitrium patens
Lineage: Eukaryota; Viridiplantae; Streptophyta; Bryopsida; Funariales; Funariaceae
Description: long non-coding RNA (PPAT_LNC013510)
Source: RNAcentral
GCCGGCACUGGCAAUCCAGAUUUCUUGGCCGCGUUGUAGAAGUCGAGCUUCGAUCGUCUCAAGACCUUGCUCUGAUAACCCACAAUUGGAACUCCCAAAGACUCCAAGUAUUCAGUAGCCUCUAUACCCGCGACGGUAUCCUCGAGUUGGCCCCACAUGAAGUUGAGGAACAUGUCGAAGCCCUCGGCGACGGCAGCAUCGAUCUGGGCGUUGGCAGUGGCUUUGUUGAUGUAACGGUGAUGGAAUUCGUGUUGGGAGGUGAACAUGGCGGGGUCUGGAAAGCUGGGGUCAUUGAUGGCAAGGGCUUGGGUGGAGUCUGCGUAGGGAGCCUGGAGAACACAGAUCUUCAUGGCGAAUGGUUUGGUACUAAUUCCGCAGCUUGAUCAGAAAUCGCUGAGGAGGAAUACGCCCGUACGAAAGAAGCUGUGCUUGUUCUCGAAACCUGCAGAUGGCCAGGAAAGUCAACAGAAUGUCAUGCCUGCACAUGCAUAUUACAGUCACAUACAAGAGUAUAAAAACUCUCGAACGAACGAAAUUUGUUUUUCCAUGUAGCAGCAGUCUGGCUAGUACCGUGGGCAGAAGAAAACAUGAAAGGCACGAUGAUAACUAUUCACAUCGGAUGGGACGUGACCGUGAAAUCAGACCAGCGUUAGUAGCUCUUAUUACAAACACCUGAAAUUCAUGCACCGAGGAUUGAGUGUCCAGGACUAUGUGACCCCUGAAGCUGGUCUAUCACAACGUGAAUUGUAUCUUCGAAUUGCACCACCUUUGGAAAAUUAUGACCUAGACUCCCUGCACGAAGUAGACUCUGCGAGUAAACAAGAAUAAGACGCGGCUUCUGCAACAAGGAGGCCUUCAGACCUUACCGAAUAUGAAAUUGCGGCAUGCAGGAACGUCCGCCUCUAAAAGAGUAGAAUGGCUGCACGCAUGUCGAGAGGGAUGAGAACGUCAGGUUCCGGCUUAUUUAUCUCCCCCUCUCUCACAUGAACCUCGUGGGGACCUGGCACCAUUUCUUCGCGUCUUUCCAGGAUGGAUUGUCAGUGCCCUCUCAAGUACAAUUGCUGCAUUGACGUCAGGUUCAGUCGUACUUAUCUCCCCCUGUCUCACAUAGACCUCAUCAUUCCUUCACUUGGGCUGUUUUUAACAGAAGCAGCGAUCAUCGUGAAGUUGCUGUUUUCGAUAUUUUUCAGUUUGCUGAUUGAGUGGAGUGAUCUACAACGGAGAGAGAAAAGUAUCUUGAAGGGUAUAUAUUAUUAUAUUCUUAUAUCAUAUCAAGACAGAGUAGGUCAAGGUACUCUCUAUCACUAUCAAUAACAAAUGACCUUAUUCUCUAGAUAAAUCUAGUACAAGCGUUACAUCUCCUAUUCCACAAUAGUACAUAACACUGUCUUUUUGAAGGACUCAACUUGAAACUUUAAUUAAAAAUAAUAAGUUUGUGCAAAGUAAAAAAAAUCAGAAAUUAAAACAACAGUUCAAUAGAUUGGAAUACGUUGUAAAAACUAAAUUGUUAUUACUGGUGUAUCAAAAGAUAUAGAAGCCAUACAAUAAUAAUGAUUGAAAAAAUAAACUGAUGAAAAUGAAGAGGGAUUUAAUGCUGCCAUUGUAAAAUUUACUCGCAAUGUUAAAAGUUUUUGAUAUCUUUUCAUUCCACCUAUAAUGAUUCUUUAAUGAUUCUUGGACGUGAACAAUUUACAGAAGAUAAUUUAAAUAUAGAACAGAAAAUACAGAUAUUUUAGAAAUAAAUAAAUAAAAAACACAUUAACAUAAAAAAAUAAAAUGGAAUAAAAAUUUAAAGUCUCUCUCUCUUUCUCUAUAAAUAUAUAUGUAUAUAUAUAUAUAUAUAUAUAUAUAUAUAAGUAUGUAUAAAAUAUGUACUAUUUUAUUAAGAUACAAAUUUUUUAAAUAUUAAUACAUAUAAAUAUAUUUAUUUUUUAAUGAUAAUAUUAUUAUUAUUAAUUAUUUUUAUUGCUUCAUAAUAUUUAUUAAUCAAGAUAUAUGAAUUUCUAUCACGUUAAAUUUGAAAUACAAUGUUUAUGUUGAAAAUCAACAAGUACUUGCUUAAUUACAACUACAUAGAGAUUAAGCAUAUUAUUUUGCUAAUAGUCAAAACACAGCAAAGAAUUAAAGGAAGUUACUAUGGUAGCACCUAGGAUUUAGUUAGAUGAAGUAAAAAUGGAUAUAAUAUCAAAAGGAUGGAAGUGGCCUCGUUGCUUACCAAACCACCACCUAUAAGUAAAAGGUGUUGGAAGUAAGAAUUAUCUUACUCCACACUUUUGUUUGUAUGCAAACCUUGCUGAUACUAAGUGUUUGUAGCUUUUAGACUUCUUUUCUUCAAUAGGUUAUGGGCCCACUGACAUUUGCUUGAGUGUUUUGAAGUUCUUUGAAGUGGUUGUUGAUGUGUGGAGUAGAUCAAGUUGUUGUUGGUGAUGUUAGGAUUUAGAAGUACCUAACUUUUAGAUUCAGAUCUAGAUCUAGAUCUUAAUUUACUCUUACUUGUAGUUAAGAGCAUUUUAGUAUUGGUGUUUGGUUUUUCACCUUAAGGCAAAGUUAUACAAUACUUUUAUUGUGCUAUUGCUCAAAUAGAUCUUUGGUGGUGUAACUUUGUAGUUUCAUGUUCUAAAGAUGCUGAUUGUGCUUAAAAGGCCUCUUAUGGUGUAUAGAUAUAAUUUGUGAAUAUAAGAGUGAUAUUUGAGUGGCAAGUCAGAUUUGAGACAUUAAGAUAGGUCAUUAGACUUGUGAGAAGCCUUAGAAGUGAAGUUGAAAGUGUUUUUGAGAGUAAGAACACUAGUUUGUUUACAAAGAAGGAUUCUAUGAUUCUAAAGUAGCAAUAUUUUUUGCUGAUUUUGAGAGCAUUAGGACUUCUUCUUUUAAUUUUUUUUUGAUAAAUCUCUCGCUUCGAUAUGGCUUCAAGUGAAGGUAAAGGAUUGAGAGUUAUUGAGAAGUUUAGAGGUGAGAAUUUUUACCAUUGGAAGGUAAAAAUGGAGCUUUUGUUGGCGUCUUUAGAUCUUUAAGAUAUUGUAGAUCAAAGUGAAGAGGCUCUAAGCAUAGAUGCUUAUAUGAAAGAGAAGAAGAAAUUCAAAUGUCAUGAAAAGAAGGUUUUUGGAUUGAUUGCAACCAAUGUGGAUGAAGCUAACUUCUCUCACAUUAUUUCUUGCAAAGAAUUAGCGGAAGCAUGAAAGAUUCUUUGCAACAUCUAUGAGAGCAAGAACUUAUCUAACAUCAUCUAUACAAUGAAGAAGUUCUUCACUUGCAAGAUGGAAGAAAGUGAAGACCUCAUGGCUCAUGUCAAUAAGGUAAAGGUUCUUACAAACAAACUACCAAUUGUUGAUAAGCCUUUAGAAGAAAGUGAUAUUGUCAUGACCUUGUUGAUGACUCUUCCUGAAUCCUACAACUACCUUAUAAUGGCAUUGGAAUUCAUUAAGCUAAAAGAGCUUAUAAUGGAAUAUGUCAUAAUAAGACUUUCUCAUAAAGUAACCAAGAAGAAAGAAAAUGAGCCUCAAAGUAAAGAUUCAAUACUCUAGUCACGUCAAGGCAAGGACAACUAUUCAAAUCAACAAGGUAAUGUCAAAUCUUGCUUCAUUUGUCGCAAAGUAGGCCAUUUUGCUAGAAAUUGCUACAAAGAUAAGAAGAUAGAGAAAGAGAAUGCAAAUAGUAUGCAAGAUGAGUUUGGAGGACAAGAUUAUAUAUUCAAGGCAACAAAUGGGACCUCUAUGGAUGCCAUGUCAAGAUGGAUUGUGGAUUCAGGUUGUUUUAAGUAUAUGACAUCUUAUAAGUAUUCAGUUGACAUUUAUGAUGCUAUUUCAGCAUUAAAGGUGGUGUUGACAGAUAGUGGUACAUGUGAAGGCAUUGGAAUUGCCUCUAUUAUGAUAGAAGUGGUUGUGAAUAGAAAAACCAAUAGGAUCAGAUUCAAAAACGUCUUUCAUGUGCCUAAGAUGAAGCAAAACCUACUUUUGAUGAGUAAACUUGUAAUAGAAGGUUUUAAAGUUCAAUUCGACAUGAAUGGAUGUUUUGUAAAAAUAUUGAGUUGAAUUAAGGUCUUCAAAGGCUUUAAAGAGGGAAAUUUGUACUAUCUCAUUUAUAAGAAGGUGAAUGGAGUGGAGGUAGCUCCAUUUGUAGAGUUUACAUCAAACCAAGACAAGUUGAAAAUAUGGCAUCAUCGCCUUGGCUAUUUGAAUGUGAAGAGCAUGAGAGAGCUCAAGUCUAUGGUAAGUGGCUUAAAUCUUUGCAAUACGAGCCAAAAUAUAAAAGAACUUGUACGUAAAAAAUGCAUACAAGGCAAACAACAAAAGACCUCAUUUCCAAGUAACUUAGCAACAUAUGCUACCACGUUGCUAGAGAUUGUCCAUUCUGAUAUAUGUGGACUUAUGAAGAACACAAAUAAUGGAAGAUCAAAGUAUUUUUUGACUUUUGUUAAUGAUUAUUCAAGAAAGAUUUGAAUUUACAUUCUUAAAUCCAACAGUGAAUGCUUUUAGAGGUUUAAGGAGUUUAAAGCACUUAUUGAAAAAUAAAAUAAAUGUAAGAUCAAGAUGCUACGUACGGACAAUGGAAGUGAGUACAUGUCUAAGUAAUUUGAUAUUUAUUUGAAGAAUGAAAGAAUUUCUAGACAAACUACAACUCCGUACACUUCACAAUAAAAUAGUGUUGCUGAAAGGGCAAAUCAAACUAUUGUAGAGAUGGCAAGGAGCAUGCUUCAUGCUCAACACCUUGGUUAUGAGUUUUGGAUGGAAAUUGUGGUGAAUGCAGUGUAUACAAGAAAUUACUGUCCAACAAGUGCUCUUGUAUCAAUGACACCACAAGAAACUUGGAGUAGAAGACAACCUUGCAUUUUCCAUAUGAGGACCUUUGGUUGCAUUGCAUAUGCAAAAAUACCAAAUUAUAUGAAGUCCAAACUUGAUGCAAAAGGUACAAAGUAUGUGUUUCUUGGUUGUUGUGAAGGUACUAAGGCAUAUAGGCUAAUAUACUUAAAAAACAAGAAGGUCAUCAAAAGUCAUGAUGUUGAUUUUUUGGAGCACAAGAGUGCUUGUAAACACUUGGAGAUGUAUUCAAGUGAGAGUAAUGGUAUGUUUGUGGACACAUCUUUGAAUUCAGCAAAGAAAUAAGAAGAUGAAGACAAUAAAAUUGAUGACGAUGAAAAGACAAAGAAGGUUGAAAAGAUGAAGGCUCCUAUAAUUGCUAGAAAUAGUAAUAAAAGAAAUGAAGAUGUUGAAGAUUAUGAUGAUGAUGAUGAUGAUGAGUACCAACAUUAAGUGAGAAAUGACAAGGUUUAAGAGAGGAGGUUGAAAAAGAACAUAAAAAGCAGCAACGUAAAUCUUCUUCUAUAAAUGAAAGAAAAUAUCUUUUAAGAGAAAAAAGACAAUGUGGUGAAUGGUGGAAGGAUCACAUCUUUCCUCAAGUAGGUGAAGAACAUGCAAAUAUUGUUCUUCUUGUUGAUCAGUUAUCUUUGUAAGAUGCAUUAAAGUCCCAAGAAACAAUUAAGUGAGAGAAGGCUAUGGAAGAAGAGUAUCAAUCUAUUAUGGACAAUGAUACAUGGAAAUUGACACCCCUUUUAGCAAAUCGAUCUAGUAUUGGUUGUAAGUAGGUGUUUAGAACUAAAAAAGAUGCAAAAUGUUCCAUAUAAGGUAACAAUAGGCUCAAUCAUGUAUGCAAUGGUAGCCACAAGAGUAGACCUUGCAUAUGCAGUGAAUGUUGCAAGCCAAUACAUGUCUAAGGCUAGACCAUUGCAUUUGACAACGAUAAAGAAGCUAUUAAGGUACUUAAAAGGUACAAAAGACUUCAAAUUAUGCCUUGGUGGUAAGAACAUUGAUUUGUUAGGUUACUAUGAUGUGAAUUGGACUGUAGAUGCAAAUGAUAGAAGAUCCACAAUAAGAUUUGUCUUCUUCAUUGGAAUAGGAGCUAUUUCAUGGAAUUGCAAGAGACAACCUUCCAUUGCAAGAUCAACAUUGAAGGUAGAGUACAUGGCAGCAAGUCAUUGUGCAAUGGAGGUGUGUUAGAUAAAGCAACUCUUAGAAGACAUUAGACUAGGGCAAUUAGAAGCAACUCUCAUUAUCUAUGACAAUUAAGGAUGUCUUGCAUUUGCCAAGAAUCCAAAAUAAUAUUCAAGGCCCAAGCACAUUGAUGUUCAACAUCGUUUCAUACGAGAGAGGAUUGAAGAUGGAAUAAUAGGUAUGAAGUAUUGUACUACAAAUGACAUGCUUGUUGAUGUGCUUACAAAGGCAUUAAAGGAUAGAUAUCAUGAGUUGAUACAGAGAUUAGGAUUGAAAGCCUUUUGAAUGUUAACAAAGUGGGAGUGUUGAAGAUUAGCAAGUACUUGCUUAGUUACAACCACAUAGAGAUUAAGCAUAAUAUGUUGCUAAUAGUCAAAAGGUAGCAAAGAGUUAAAGGAAGUUACUAUGGUAGCACCUAGGGUUUGGUUGGAUGAAGUAAAAAUGGAUGUAAUAUCAAAAAGAUGGAAGUUGCCUCAUUGGUUAGCAAACCACCACCUAUAAGUAAAAGGUGUUGGAAGUAAGAAUUAUCUUACUCCAUACUUUUGUUUAUGUGCAAACCUUACUUAUGCUAAGUGUUUGUAGCUUUUAGACUUCUUUUCUUCAAUAGUUUAAAAUAUUUUUUUUUAAUCUAAAUGAUGUUUAGCAACAUUCUUUUUCCCACAAAGUAAAAAUACACUCCAUUAGAACAACCUCUUCAAAAACAUUCUUUACAAAGCUAUUUCUGUCUUAGUAAUAUUUACUAAAGAAUGUCAAAAUCAAGUACAAAGUUAGUAUUGAUAAUAAUUUAUCAUAUUUUUAAAUGUUGUUUAUUACAAUUUGUGCAAUUCAAAUUGAACAACAAAUUACAAGAUGCUUAGACACAAAAAAUUGAACAAGAAAACAAAUAAUAAACAAACAUACACAAGAUUGUACAUCUGAAAAUGUGAACUCACCACAUAUCAGAUAAAAAUAAACCUAAUUAUAACAAAGCAAGUUGAACAAAUGUUUAGAAUAACACAUAACAUAAAUGCAAUAAGAAAAGAAUGAAAACUCACAUCUCAAUAGGAACUAGAGAUGGCAUCGAUAUGGAUAAUAGUCUGAACUCUGGCUAGGAAAUUUCAACUGCACUUGAUGCUCGCUGGUGUCCAAAGAAAAAGUAUGGACGUUAACACGCAUGUACAAAAAGAAAGUAAGAAAUUGCAAAAAGUGAAAUAGGAUAAAAAGUUAACAGACAAAGCCAGUCGUGGAAAGAUAAGUGAAUGCGAGGAUAUUGUAGAGCCCUGCGAAGCGAAAGACAGGUUCGUGAGAUAAAUGUUUUGUGGCUCUUUGAGAACCACGCUUCGACAUCUUCGAACUGCGCUGCGUCUUUUGCCCACAAACCCAAAUGUGCGAACCCGUCCAGGAUCUACAGCGAAAAAGAACAAACACGAAAUACUGGAACACUGGGUCAAAAGCACGACCGAAUCCUGCCACAUUUCCACUCCUCGAUGUUUUACCUUGCAUUGCUUCAUGCACCCAUGUGCACUGAUACUUCAAGUUGCCUUUCACUACUGCCUGCUGGUUUACAGGCAAAAUUUUCUAAUCUCCCUCCUUCACAUUAUCGUGUGAAGCUGAGUUGGUGUAACGAAAGCCUUGUAGAGGAAAGCGUUUGGUGUGAACGGGUACUGUGCAAACCUGUUCUUCGUCUGUUUUGAAUCAGAAACGGCACACGUUUGGUCAUUGUACUAGAAAAUUGUUCUUAGAUUUUCUGACUGCAAACAGUACGAUCAUUUUCAACAUACUACGUUAAGCGUUCCAGUGAAAUGCAUACAUCCUUCUGCGGGUGCAAUCGCUACAUGCUGCAUUGUGUGGUUGUUGGUGUUAGCAACAUUCAUCUUGGUGACGCUGUCUACUGGUCACAAAUCCCAGCCGACUCGUUCUGUCUCUCACACAGAAUAUGCAAAGAAGAACACCGCGACAAUUUCCACAAUUCCUGAUUUGGAUCAGAGAAUAUUGCCACAAGAAGCUUGUGUUUUGAAGACAGACGCUUACAUUGUGCGGUUACGAGGUCUAGAUCUUGCUAACUGCGUCCAGUACUUUGAGGCUGGUCGCUGGUCAACGAUUAAAGGGCAAUGUUAACAGAGAGAUCAUUGAGGCUGGGAAACGCUCCAUUGCAGUGAAAUUAGUAUUAGUGAAAGUAACAAUUGUAUUUUAGUAUUAGCCAAGGCCUAAUUAACCCUAUCCCCACCCAGCUAUGUAAUGGUUACUCCCUAUUUGAAUUAUUUCCAUUUAAGUCAGAAAAAACAAUAAAAAAAUAAUAAUAAUAUAAAAGACGAACAAAAAGAAGCUAAUUGGCUAGCUAAAUUCGCUAUGCUAGGUCUCCUACUCGAAAAUCCAAUCAUCCUAACAAAGCGUCUCAAUGUCCACCCAGCAGCCAUGCAAUUCUCCAUAAGAUGGAGUUAAAGAGGCGGGAGUGCCUCGAAUCGGAACAGUACCGUAUCGACGUUGUGGCCAGUGUUCGGCGAGGUCCAUCCGAACUUACGUACUCGCCGACCCACUCUCCACCCUCGCGGAACUCCGAAUCCUUCCACCAGCUGUAAGUGGUUCCUGACCCGCAUGUAAGGCAAUCCGGCUUUGACCAGAAACUCAUUGUACGAGUCCGGAAUCUCGUCCACGGAGAUGGUCACCGACUUUUGCGCCAGUUGGAACAUUCUCACUAGCACUGCACACAUUUCCACCUCGUCAAGGUACUGGAGGGUCGAGACACACACGACGUGGUCGAACGAUGUGGUGGUGUCCAUUAUCACGUCCUGAAGGGGACCAAUCUUCACUUCCUUGUAUGUCUCCGGGAUUGGAUUCUUCUGAACCAUUUGCUCGGAUACGUCAUUGCCCACGAUCGUGCUCAGUUCUGAGCCGUCUUUGCGUUUCCUUUGAUGCUCGUGGAGCAAGCGACCGAACUUUCCCGUGCCGCUGCCCAAUUCAAACACCGUGCCGGAAUAAUCGUAGUCGGCGAUUAGAAAUUCGUAGUUCGAGGCCAUCGUUCCCAAAUAACUUUCGUAGCUCGCCGAGAAGGCGUCGAAUUCCUUGGCCACAGGGGCAACCUUGAUCUUGUGCUUUCCCAGCUGCUGCAGUCUGCUGUUGACAAUCACGUUCACAAGCGCGCGAUGACCGCCGGGAAACGUCUCGCGGAUCACGAUGUCCUCCCACUCGUGCUCCCAGCGGUAGAACACCGCCGGCCCCGGGUUGACCUCCAGGAUGAAGGGCUUACCGUCUGACGCUCGAACCCUAAUAUCCACAUUGCCCCAGCUGUUUCCUGCCAUUUGGUUGACGUGCCAGGCUCUCUCCGCCAGAUUGCGCAACAUGUCGAAGAGCGCUGGGUCUUUGCAACGCACCAGGAGCUCCUCACGCAUCUCCGGGUGGCAUUUGAUGUCGAAAGUCAUGAAAUCAGCGCCGGCGUUGAUUGCGGGGCAUCGGUAGGUAGUCGGGUUUAGCGCCACGGGCGUGUUGCCCAUCUCGAUGAGAAUGACGGAGUAAUCGCGCCCAGGUAUGUACUCUUGGACGACAAUGUCGAUAUCACUCCCGUCGAAAUGAGCAACUCCGUUGCCAUAAGCACUACCGUUAACGUGAUCACUUCCAUCGACAUGGGCGAUUCUAUUGCCGUUGACGCUCCCGUUAUCGUGAUCACUUCCGUUGACAUGGGCACUCCCGUUUCCAUCAGCGCUCCUAUUGCAAUGAUUGGCGAUGGUUGCGGCGGCUUCCUUUCGACCGGGAGCAAGAUACUCAUUGAUGCGGGCCAGCUGCUGAUCAAGUUCGCUUUGGUUCUUGCACACGGACCUUUCGUCGAUAAACAUUGACGCGCACAUCUUCGCCGGUUUCACAAACACCGGGAACUUCAUGUCAGCACCCCUUGCCGGCACUGGCAAUCCAGAUUUCUUGGCCGCGUUGUAGAAGUCGAGCUUCGAUCGUCUCAAGACCUUGCUCUGAUAACCCACAAUUGGAACUCCCAAAGACUCCAAGUAUUCAGUAGCCUCUAUACCCGCGACGGUAUCCUCGAGUUGGCCCCACAUGAAGUUGAGGAACAUGUCGAAGCCCUCGGCGACGGCAGCAUCGAUCUGGGCGUUGGCAGUGGCUUUGUUGAUGUAACGGUGAUGGAAUUCGUGUUGGGAGGUGAACAUGGCGGGGUCUGGAAAGCUGGGGUCAUUGAUGGCAAGGGCUUGGGUGGAGUCUGCGUAGGGAGCCUGGAGAACACAGAUCUUCAUGGUGAAUGGUUUGGUACUAAUUCCGCAGCUUGAUCAGAAAUCGCUGAGGAGGAAUACGCCCGUACGAAAGAAGCUGUGCUUGUUCUCGAAACCGGCAGAUGGCCAGGAAAGUCAACAGAAUGUCAUGCCUGCACAUGCAUAUUACAGUCACAUACAAGAGUAUAAAAACUCUCGAACGAACGAAAUUUGUUUUUCCAUGUAGCAGCAGUCUGGCUAGUACCGUGGGCAGAAGAAAACAUGAAAAGCACGAUGAUAACUAUUCACAUGUGAUGGGAUUUGGCCAUGGAACUAGACCAGCGUCAGAAGCUCUUACCUCAAACACCUGAAGUU